CAGGCCUAACACAUGCAAGUCGAGCGGAUGAGAGGAGCUUGCUCCUCGAUUCAGCGGCGGACGGGUGAGUAAUGCCUAGGAAUCUGCCUAGUAGUGGGGGACAACGUUUCGAAAGGAACGCUAAUACCGCAUACGUCCUACGGGAGAAAGUGGGGGAUCUUCGGACCUCACGCUAUUAGAUGAGCCUAGGUCGGAUUAGCUAGUUGGUAGGGUAAAGGCCUACCAAGGCGACGAUCCGUAACUGGUCUGAGAGGAUGAUCAGUCACACUGGAACUGAGACACGGUCCAGACUCCUACGGGAGGCAGCAGUGGGGAAUAUUGGACAAUGGGCGAAAGCCUGAUCCAGCCAUGCCGCGUGUGUGAAGAAGGCCUUCGGGUCGUAAAGCACUUUAAGUUGGGAGGAAGGGCUCAUAGCGAAUACCUGUGAGUUUUGACGUUACCAACAGAAUAAGCACCGGCUAACUUCGUGCCAGCAGCCGCGGUAAUAAU
This 489-nucleotide ribosomal RNA is filed under the name uncultured bacterium. Its description in RNAcentral is "bacterial SSU rRNA". It matches the Rfam family "Bacterial small subunit ribosomal RNA", at positions 43 to 526 of the family's 1533-position model. The record is from RNAcentral.